RNAcentral lists this ribosomal RNA (657 nucleotides) under Triticum aestivum (bread wheat). Its description in RNAcentral is "partial small subunit ribosomal RNA". The record is from RNAcentral. Lineage: Eukaryota; Viridiplantae; Streptophyta; Magnoliopsida; Poales; Poaceae.
AUGUGGCUGAUGCCGCGGUCACUGAUCUGGCUCAGUGGACUGAAGAACGUGCCACCAUGGUGGCUUUGCUGCGUCAGCACCUUAACAGAGCUCGGCAGGAUAUAUUGGGUGUUCCUCAAGCUGCAACCAUACGCACAAUCGUCGGUGGCAGCACGCGCUAACCACAAGCUUGCCUUUCGAUUCUUUGGACCGUUUCAGGUGCUGCAACGUGUGGGUGAAGUGGCGUACAAGCUUGCACUCCCAGAGCACUCCAGGAUCCAUCCCGUCAUCCAUGUCUCACAGCUGCGGGCCGGCCUUCCCCCGGCCACGAGUGCGAUGCCAGAACUUCCAGUACUCGACGAGGAUCUUCUUCCACUACAAGUACCCGAAGCUAUCCUCAAGAAACGUCGCGUCCAACGCGGAGCUCGGCAAGUGAAGCAAGUUCUAGUGCAAUGGUCGGGCUUCCCUGCAUCCUUGGCAACCUGGGAGGACAAGAUUCCGCUGCGGUCUCGUUUUCCCCGAGCGCUGGCUUGGGGUCAAGCCAAGCGUAAAGGAAGGGGAAAUGUCACGGGAACUACACCAAGCAACCAGAGUGAGCCGGCCCAAGUGAAGCCCACCAGGCCGCAGCGCAGCAAGCAGCCCAACCAGCGCUACGCCGGGCCAGACUGGAGCCAGUGA